RNAcentral lists this unclassified non-coding RNA (344 nucleotides) under soil metagenome. RNAcentral describes it as "partial contains 5.8S ribosomal RNA, internal transcribed spacer 2, and large subunit ribosomal RNA". The stretch from base 1 to 119 matches the Rfam family "5.8S ribosomal RNA", at positions 35 to 154 of the family's 154-position model. The record is from RNAcentral.
GAUGAAGAACGUAGCGAAAUGCGAUACGUAAUGUGAAUUGCAAAUUCAGUGAAUCAUCGAGUCUUUGAACGCACAUUGCGCCCCCUGGUAUUCCGGGGGGCAUGCCUGUCCGAGCGUCAUUGCUGCCCUCAAGCACGGCUUGUGUGUUGGGCCCCGUCCUCCGAUCCCGGGGGACGGCCCGAAAGGCAGCGGCGGCACCGCGUCCGGUCCUCGAGCGUAUGGGGCUUUGUCACCCGCUCUGUAGGCCCGGCCGGCGCUUGCCGAUCAACCCAAAUUUUUAUCCAGGUUGACCUCGGAUCAGGUAGGGAUACCCGCUGAACUUAAGCAUAUCAAUAAGCGGAGGA